AUUUAGAACUGUGCUGAAAGGGUAUGUGCAGUUUUGCCUUCUCAUUACUGUAAUGACAGUGUCUUUUUUUGAACCUACAUUCACAGUUACAUCCUAGAAGAUAUUGUUUCUCCUUCCUAGGACACCUCAACUCAAAGUGUAGGACCAAAAGUUGGUGUUAACAUCAUUUCUUUUGUUUGCCCAGGCCCAAAGACCCAGAGAUUUGCAAGACCAUGCAUCAAAUGAGAAUGUUAACACCCAUGUUACUACCCAGCUCUUAAUAAGCUAUGUAGAGUGUGUAUCCAUCUGAUAUCUUGAAGAACAAUAGAGCUUUGAGUCCCAGCUGGCCUCUGCUUAGUCACCGGUUGGAAGGUGAUAUAUAGUAACUAGAGUCAUCACUGCAGAAGCUACAAUUUUGACACAGGACUGGACAGUAUGUGAACAAGUUUCUUAGUGUGGGCAGGACUCAAACUGUAUAGGAUAGGUUGGUUUUGGGCAUAGGGACUUCUCUGUGACUGGCAGGUUGAUGAACAGUGCUCCUGGGCUAUGCCCAAGUGGGCCAUGCGCCUUUUCACAUAAUAGUUCUGACUACAAAAAGACAUCAUGUAGAUGUUUAUUUUUUUAUGCCCCGCCAAAAAAGAAAAAAAGAAAAAGAAAAAAAAUGGCCAUCAAGAGGUUGCUCACAGUACCCUGGACUCAGGGGUUAAAUCAUAAGAUGGAUUAGGCUUCAGAAUGGCAAAUGAUUUGCUACUAGGGUUUGAGUGUGUGUGUGUGUGUGUGUGUGUGUGUGUGUGUGUGUGUGUGUGUGUGUUAAGCUACUUGAUGUUCUUUAAACUGGACACUGGUUCUUUUGUUUUCCAAAAAUAUAGAUAUAUUUGUUUACCCAUUCAGGAAAUUCAUAUCACUGAUUUCCCUUGUUGCUUAUCUUAAGUUUCUGUAUUUUUAGUUUUUUUAAGUGAAGUAUUUUUAACUAAAUAAAUACAGAUGUUAUUUUAGACCACUACGCAAUCACACUCAAAAUUCAGAGAUAAGAAUGAGUCUGGGGAAAUGAAAGACAAGAUGACAUUGUCCGUCAUAAGCGACAAGAUCUGGGCAAAAUGAGAAUGAAAUUAGCUCUCCUGCACAUGUGAAAUGUUACACACAGACAUGUUCCUGAAGCAUGUGAGUCAAAAGUUUAUUGUUGUUGUCUUUUAACUUCCAACAUAUUCCAGAGUGAGGAACAGAGGUUACAACACCCAUCUAUUAUUUAUUAAUUUAUCUUUUCAUGGGAAAUAAUACUACAUUAUAUCUGUUACCUAAGUGACAGCCCAUUAAGUGCUCCUAGUUACCAGCCAGCACCAAAUCUGUGGGCCAAUGAGAAGGGGUGGCUGAUGGUUUCACAUCUGUUUUGGGUGAAAAAACUGUUUCUGUCUGCAGUACUGAAAAUUUAAAGAACUUCUGUUAUUAUACAAUUGGGAAUCCUCCGGGAGUAAAAUGUUAAUGAAAUCCAUAAUGUGCACAGAUUUUAUGAUAGCAGUUGUAGGAAAUUCCUUUGGUGAGGUUUGUUGAUUUCUGUCCCAGUGGUAAUAAUUGUACCUUUUACAGCGUGUGUUAAUGUCAGCAUUUAGGAGCAACGGCUACAUUUAUGCCACGUGUAAUGUAACACACCCAUUCUUAAGCUUUAAAUAACUUUCAUAUUGUACUUUAAAACCCCAGGGCAAAACCAAAUAUGUUCUUCAGAACAGGGAAGAACCCCUAUGUUGAAACUUCUAGCAUAUCCACAGAUACCUUCUCCAUUGAAAGAGGUCUGCAUCCUGGUAACCAGGCUUAGAUAUGGAUGGAGAUGAAAUACCUCUUGAUUACUUAAAAGCAUCACUUAAAAGCUCCACAUCAGCAUGAGAAUUUUGGUCAACAUCAAAAGAGUAGUUUGGGUUGCUUGACCUGAAAGGAGACUGAUGUUCGAGUGAAUGUAUGCAUACACAAGUACACUCAACCUCCAUGUACAAGCACACUCAAACAUAGGUGUACAAAAAACAUAUACAUGUGUGAGCAUAUAUAAACACAUAUGUGCACCCAAAUACCUGUGCCUGGAAGCAUGCACACACAAACAUACAUGCAUACAUUGGUUAUUUCCUUUCUUCACCCUUUCUCUCCCCUCCCUCAGUCAUCUAAUCUCAUUCAACGCUAGGUUCCAAUAAAGAGAGAAAAGUACAUUAAAUUUUAAAAUGCUUUGUAUAUCCCCAUAGUAAUAAAAUGCAUUAUGCUUUUGUAUUUCCAGCAGUUGACGAGAGUGGGCAUUUGAGACUAAUUUCACACAUUAUGACUAAGAAUAAUCACAUGUGCACUUGUGCAUGUGUCUUGUGCUUUAAUUUUUUCACCAGUUCUCUUUGCCUCAAGGGGUUAAAAAUGCAUUUAUGACAUUUUUCUAAUUGCCUCGUGUUGGGAGAACAAAGCCUUCGUUCCAUCCAGCAAAGUUUUAUUUUCCUUACAAUUCUUGUGCUUUAAACUUCUGACUACAAUUUAUGGAUCUAGCAUAGAGAAUAAACAAGCCCUUUCAUUCUUUUAGCAAGCCUGGGAGGGCUAUCGAUACUGUUCUUUGGGGGUUAGGUGAUUGGAUAAGACAGCUUCUCUGGGCCUUUUAGGCAUUUAAGAUUCCAUGAUUCUAUUAAAAAUAAAUGUACUUGAUCGCUAGUGCGCUGAGCUUGCCUGAGAUGAAAAUAUAAGUAUGUUGGAGCAUAGCUGGAACUCAUUUUAAACACUAUUGAUAAUGGCGUGAGGCAGCAUGCAGCUAAUUUUUUUUCCAUUAAGAAAGUUUUUUUUCCCCCACAGAUCAAGUAAUUGUUAGGGCUGCUUCGACCACAAAGCUCAUCUGAGAAGUUCAUGCUGAAACUCUGCUUGUGGUGGGUCUAUUUCCCUUGAUUUCUUCUGAGCUAGUUUGCAGGAACAUACAGACCAUGGGUGACAAAAUGAAAUCCAUACAUUUGCCCUUUAUGUGUCUCCAAUCCUGAAGGAAGUUUCUGUGAGGCCAGGGCUUAUCUACCAUUAUAGUCUGCUUCUACCUUAAAAUUUGACCAACACCCAGCCUCUGUAUCUCCUUAAACAAAAAUCAUGUUUGUUUCUGAGCAAACCACCUUCCUGACAAAGGACAUCUUGGCUGUCUCUAGACUUGAAGUGUUUACAUACUGUGAAAGCAGGUAAAUCCCACCUCAGACUAGAGAAAGACCAGACCCAGCUAGGCUCCUGCCUGCAGGAGCAAGGAUUUAAGCAAGGCCUUCAGUUUGGAAGGCUCUGGGAAUUAAAUACCAAGUUUCUACUGGGAAAUACUCAGAAUAAUGAAAAGAAGUGAGGAAAUCAUAAGAAAUAUGAAGUCGUGACGAAUCCUUUUGCUAUAUUAAGAAGUGAACGGAGCUUAUAGG
RNAcentral lists this long non-coding RNA (3374 nucleotides) under Mus musculus (house mouse). Its description in RNAcentral is "long non-coding RNA chr8:128440242-128443616". The record is from RNAcentral. Lineage: Eukaryota; Metazoa; Chordata; Mammalia; Rodentia; Muridae.